GGAUGUGAGAGCGAUCUGGCUGUGACAUCUGUCACCCCAUUGACUGCCAGGGUUGAUUCGGCUGAUCUGGCUGGCUAGGCAGGUGUCCCUGUCCUUCCUCACUGCUCCAUGUGGGUCGCUCCCGACGCUGCAUGCUCGGUGGAAGAGGAUAACGUCCCAGGUAUAGAAGGAGUGUACCUUAAUAGGUUUCUAGUCUUCAGUCCCGGUUAUAUGAUAGCUGCGCUCCCCUGCUAGAACCUCCAAACAAGCUAUUAGGAUCUUGUUUCUGAACCUCUUGCAUGAUGUCCAUCCAGGUAGCUCUCUAACUGACAGGGAUAGUUUGUUU
Molecule: small nuclear RNA, 325 nt
Filed under: Anolis carolinensis (green anole)
Lineage: Eukaryota; Metazoa; Chordata; Lepidosauria; Squamata; Anolidae
Description: 7SK RNA
Rfam family: 7SK RNA
About the family: 7SK was discovered as an abundant small nuclear RNA in the mid-70s but a possible function has only recently been suggested. Two independent studies have found that 7SK RNA binds the CDK9/cyclin T complex (known as elongation factor P-TEFb).
Source: Rfam by way of RNAcentral